UGCGGGAAGAAGGCCUUCGGGUUGUAAACCGCUGUCGGGAGUUAAGAAAUGUAAGGAUGUUAAUAGCAUCUUUGCUUGACUAAGGCUCCGGAGGAAGCCACGGCUAACUCUGUGCCAGCAGCCGCGGUAAUACAGAGGCGGCAAGCGUUGUUCGGAAUUAUUGGGCGUAAAGAGCACGUAGGCGGCUAUGUAAGUCGGUUGUGAAAGCCUUCCGCUCAACGGGAGAACAGCAUCCGAUACUGCAUGGCUUGAGUGCGGGAGGGGAGAGUGGAACUUCUGGUGGAGCGGUGAAAUGCGUAGAUAUCAGAAGGAACGCCGGCGGCGAAAGCGGCUCUCUGGCCCAUAACUGACGCUGAGUGUGCGAAAGCUAGGGGAGCAAACGGGAUUAGAUACCCCGGUAGUCCUAGCCGUAAACGAUGGGCACUAAGUAGAGGGGUUUUAA
RNAcentral lists this ribosomal RNA (442 nucleotides) under uncultured Planctomycetota bacterium. Its description in RNAcentral is "bacterial SSU rRNA". It matches the Rfam family "Bacterial small subunit ribosomal RNA", at positions 402 to 834 of the family's 1533-position model. Lineage: Bacteria; Pseudomonadati; Planctomycetota. The record is from RNAcentral.